Molecule: ribosomal RNA, 301 nt
Filed under: uncultured bacterium
Lineage: Bacteria
Description: partial 16S ribosomal RNA
Rfam family: Archaeal small subunit ribosomal RNA
Source: RNAcentral
CAGCCGCCGCGGUAAAACCAGCACCUCGAGUGGUCAGGAGGUUUAUUGGGCCUAAAGCAUCCGUAGCCGGUUGCAUAAGUUUUCGGUUAAAUCUAUGCGCUUAACGUAUAGGCCGCCGAAAAUACUGUGCAGCUAGGGAGUGGGAGAGGUACACGGUACUCGAUAGGAAGGGGUAAAAUCCUUUGAUCUAUUGAUGACCACCUGUGGCGAAGGCGGUGUACCAGAACACGUUCGACGGUGAGGGAUGAAAGCUGGGGGAGCAAACCGGAUUAGAUACCCCGGUAGUCCCUGUCUCUUAUAC